UCCACCCACCCACACAGCCUGCUCUCAUAGAAGAGAAGACUUAAACUGAGCCCCCUAACUCCGGGAUCUAAAGAGCGGACAUUCUCCGUUCCCAAGGAGGACAGAGGCCCAUUGUAUCCAGUACUGAAGAGUCACUUAUCCUGGUUCCCACAGCCUGGGCUGGGGAGAAUGGGAGAAAAGGUCUGGAUAAGGCUAGAGGUCAAACACAGGGAGAGAUAAAAGCAGAUACUCGGAAAAACCUCGGAAAGAGAAAAUGACUGAGCUAAAGACACACAACGCUGGAGUUUUUUUCAUUAUCACUUCAGACUUAAGACUGCCUGUUUCCUGUGCUGCCUUUGACUUUUAGAGACAAAGAAGUAGACAAAAAAAAAAGAAAAAAGCUA
Molecule: long non-coding RNA, 383 nt
Organism: Phascolarctos cinereus (koala)
Lineage: Eukaryota; Metazoa; Chordata; Mammalia; Diprotodontia; Phascolarctidae
Source: RefSeq, a predicted model, not a curated record